This 765-nucleotide ribosomal RNA is filed under the name uncultured Streptococcus sp. RNAcentral describes it as "bacterial SSU rRNA". It matches the Rfam family "Bacterial small subunit ribosomal RNA", at positions 28 to 776 of the family's 1533-position model. Lineage: Bacteria; Bacillati; Bacillota; Bacilli; Lactobacillales; Streptococcaceae. The record is from RNAcentral.
GACGAACGCUGGCGGCGUGCCUAAUACAUGCAAGUAGAACGCUGAAGAGAGGAGCUUGCUCUUCUUGGAUGAGUUGCGAACGGGUGAGUAACGCGUAGGUAACCUGCCUUGUAGCGGGGGAUAACUAUUGGAAACGGUAGCUAAUACCGCAUAACAAUGGAUGACACAUGUCAUUUAUUUGAAAGGGGCAAUUGCUCCACUACAAGAUGGACCUGCGUUGUAUUAGCUAGUAGGUGAGGUAACGGCUCACCUAGGCGACGAUACAUAGCCGACCUGAGAGGGUGAUCGGCCACACUGGGACUGAGACACGGCCCAGACUCCUACGGGAGGCAGCAGUAGGGAAUCUUCGGCAAUGGGGGCAACCCUGACCGAGCAACGCCGCGUGAGUGAAGAAGGUUUUCGGAUCGUAAAGCUCUGUUGUAAGUCAAGAACGAGUGUGAGAGUGGAAAGUUCACACUGUGACGGUAGCUUACCAGAAAGGGACGGCUAACUACGUGCCAGCAGCCGCGGUAAUACGUAGGUCCCGAGCGUUGUCCGGAUUUAUUGGGCGUAAAGCGAGCGCAGGCGGUUUGAUAAGUCUGAAGUUAAAGGCUGUGGCUCAACCAUAGUUCGCUUUGGAAACUGUCAAACUUGAGUGCAGAAGGGGAGAGUGGAAUUCCAUGUGUAGCGGUGAAAUGCGUAGAUAUAUGGAGGAACACCGGUGGCGAAAGCGGCUCUCUGGUCUGUAACUGACGCUGAGGCUCGAAAGCGUGGGGAGCGAACAGG